RNAcentral lists this ribosomal RNA (1245 nucleotides) under metagenome. Its description in RNAcentral is "SSU rRNA". It matches the Rfam family "Eukaryotic small subunit ribosomal RNA", at positions 519 to 1790 of the family's 1831-position model. The record is from RNAcentral.
UACACUUUAAAUCCUUUAACGAGGAUCUAUUGGGGCAAGUCUGGUGCCAGCAGCCGCGGUAAUUCCAGCUCCAAUAGCGUAUAUUAAUGUUGUUGCGGUUAAAAGCUCGUAGUUGGAUCUCGGUUUCGGGCGAGCGGUGCGCCUUGCGGCGUCUACUGUUUGCCCGGACGAUUUUGCUGGUCCGUUCCUGGUUCUCUUAACCGAGUGCCAGGAGUGGCCAGCACGUUUACUUUGAAAAAAUUGGAGUGCUCAAAGCAGGCGCUACAGCCUGAACAUUAGUGCAUGGAAUAAUGGAAUAGGACCUCGGUUCUAUUUCGUUGGCUUUCGGAGUCGAGGUAAUGAUUAAUAGGGACAGACGGGGGCAUUCGUACUGCGACGUUAGAGGUGAAAUUCUUGGAUCGUCGCAAGACGAACUACUGCGAAAGCAUUUGCCAAGAAUGUUUUCAUUAAUCAAUAACGAAAGUUAGAGGUUCGAAGGCGAUCAGAUACCGCCCUAGUUCUAACCAUAAACGAUGUCAACUGGCGAUCCGCUAUCGUUAACUGAAAGACUUAGCGGGCAGCCUCCGGGAAACCAAAGUGUUUGGAUUCUGGGGGGAGUAUGACUGCAAAAUUGAAACUUAAAAGAAUUGACGGAAGGGCACCACCAGGAGUGGAGCCUGCGGCUUAAUUUGACCCAACACGGGAAAUCUCACCAGGCCCGGACACCGUAGGAUUGACAGAUUGAGAGCUCUUUCUUGAUUCGGUGGGUGGUGGUGCAUGGCCGUUCUUAGUUGGUGGAGCGAUUUGUCUGGUUAAUUCCGAUAACGAACGAGACUCUGGCCUACUAACUAGACGUUAGAUCCCUUCGUGGGUCUAUCGCAGCUUCUUAGAGGGACGGGCGGCGUUUAGCCGCACGAGAUUGAGCAAUAACAGGUCUGUGAUGCCCUUAGAUGUUCUGGGCUGCACGCGCGCUACACUGAAGGAAUCAGCGUGUGUUCCCUGCCCGAAAGGGUUGGGAAACCCGUUGAACCUCCUUCGUGAUGGGGAUUGGGGAUUGCAAUUAUUCCCCAUGAACGAGGAAUUCCCAGUAGGCGCGAGUCAUAAGCUCGCGUCGAUUACGUCCCUGCCCUUUGUACACACCGCCCGUCGCUACUACCGAUCGAGUGAUUUAGUGAGGCCUUCGGACUGGUCUUCAGUAUGGCUUUCGGGUCGUGUUGGAGUAUCGGAAAGAUGACCAAACUUGAUUACUUAGAGGAAGUAAAAGUC